RNAcentral lists this ribosomal RNA (1330 nucleotides) under uncultured organism. Its description in RNAcentral is "bacterial SSU rRNA". It matches the Rfam family "Bacterial small subunit ribosomal RNA", at positions 61 to 1426 of the family's 1533-position model. The record is from RNAcentral.
GUCGAGCGAUGAGGCUCCUUCGGGGGUACAUCAGCGGCAGACGGGUGAGUAACACGUAGGUGACCUACCCUCGAGACGGGGAUAACGGCUGGAAACAGUCGCUAAUACCCGAUAGACUUACCAGGUCAAAGCGGUAAGAAAAGCUACGGUGCUUGGGGAGGGGCCUGCGGCCCAUCAGCUAGUUGGUAGGGUAACGGCCUACCAAGGCGAAGACGGGCAGGGGGUGUGAGAGCACGAGCCCCCACAAUGGGACUGCGACACGGACCAUACUCCUACGGGAGGCAGCAGCAGGGAAUAUUGCACAAUGGACGGAAGUCUGAUGCAGCGACGCCGCGUGAGUGAAGACGGCCUUCGGGUUGUAAAGCUCUUUAACGGGGGACGAGGAAGGACGGUACCCUGGAGAAGAAGUGUCGGCUAACUACGUGCCAGCAGCCCCCGGUUAAGACGUAGGACACAAGCGUUAUCCGGAGUACUGGGGCGUAAAGCGCCUGCAGGCGGCCUGGUAAGUUGGACGUGAAAGCCCCGUGCUUAACGCGGGGAGCUCGGACAAUACUGCCAAGCUAGAGUGCGUCAGAGGGGAGUGGAAUUUCCGGAGUAGCGGUAANAUGCGCAGAUAUCGGAAGGAACACCAGUGGCGAAAGCGACUCCCUGGGGCGCGACUGACGCUAAGAGGCGAAAGCUAGGGGAGCGAACAGGAUUAGAGACCCUGGUAGUCCUAGCCCUAAACGAUGGAUGCUAGGUGUGGGACGUAAAGUUCCGUGCCGGAGCCAACGCGAUAAGCAUCCCGCCUGGGGACUACGGUCGCAAGGCUAAAACUCAAACGAAUUGACGGGGACCCGCACAAGCAGCGGAGCGGGUGGUUUAAUUCGAUGCUACACGAAGAACCUUACCUGGGUUUGACAUGUACGUGGUAGAGAAGCGAAAGCGGAUUGACCCUUCGGGGAGCGUACACAGGUGCUGCAUGGCUGUCGUCAGCUCGUGCCGUGAGGUGUCGGGUUAAGUCCCGUAACGAGCGCAACCCUUACCCUUAGUUGCACGUAUCUAGGGAGACUGCCGGCGGGAAGCCGGAGGAAGGUGGGGAUGACGUCAAGUCAGCAUGGCCCUUAUGUCCAGGGCUACACACACGCUACAAUGGCCGGUACAAAGGGCAGCAAAGUCGCGAGGCGGAGCGAAUCCCAACAAAGCCGGUCGUAGUUCGGAUUGCAGGCUGCAACUCGCCUGCAUGAAGCUGGAGUUGCUAGUAACCGCGCGUCAGCUAUAGUGCGGUGAAUACGUACCCGGGUCUUGUACACACCGCCCGUCACGUCAUGGAAGUCGGUAACGCCUGAAG